CGCCUCUUGUCCCCCAAAAAUAAGAGGUCCUGCCUGCCCAGUGACUAUAGGUUCAACGGCCGCGGUAUUUUAACCGUGCAAAGGUAGCGUAAUCACUUGUUCUUUAAAUAAGGACCCGUAUGAAUGGCAAGACGAGGGCUAUACUGUCUCCUUUUUCCAGUCAAUGAAAUUGAUUUUCCCGUGCAGAAGCGGGAAUCGCCACAUAAGACGAGAAGACCCUGUGGAGCUUUAGAUGAUGAAGACAGACCUUGUCAAAGCCCCUUAAUUAAAAGGCUGAACUAAUAGAAUACUUCUCCCAUAUCUUUGGUUGGGGCGACCGCGGGGAUAAGAACAACCCCCAUGUGGAGCAGGAAGACCAACUUCCCAGACCCAAGAGCUACCACUCGAACUCACAGAAUUUCUGACCGAAAGACCCGGCAAUGCCGAUCAACGAACCAAGUUACCCCAGGGAUAACAGCGCAAUCCUCUUCUAGAGGCCCUAUCGACAAGGGGGUUUACGACCUCGAUGUUGGAUCAGGACAUCCUAAUGGUGCAGCCGCUAUUAAGGGUUCGUUUGUUCAACGAUUAAAGUCCU
RNAcentral lists this ribosomal RNA (574 nucleotides) under Cypho zaps (checkered dottyback). Its description in RNAcentral is "partial 16S ribosomal RNA". It matches the Rfam family "Bacterial large subunit ribosomal RNA", at positions 1816 to 2597 of the family's 2925-position model. The record is from RNAcentral. Lineage: Eukaryota; Metazoa; Chordata; Actinopteri; Pseudochromidae.